CUUCAUUUAAGGUGUGUGAUUCGUGUAAGCUUACCCUGGCUUGAUAACCAUGUCUCUCGGACAAGAAGCAAGAAUGGUUCUGUGCUAUGUACCGGAGUGUAACAACUACUCCGAUUAACCUCAUGUGCAUUUCAUGGUUUUCCGACCUCUGUGAGGCAUCGCUGGAAACGAGUGAUAAGACAAUAGGCGUGACCUGCGGAACAUCGGGCUCACCCCACGAAAAGCAGUGUAUGAUCAACGCCACCCCCAGCCAGGAGAUCUGCUGACCCGAAAAACCACACAAGGGUUAAGCAUUCCAGAUGAUUUUCAAAGGCUGUGUCCUAACCAACUCUACUUACUUAUUUGGAGUUCAAUGGAAACAUUGAAGUUCCAGGCACGUGGGAUGAUGCCAGAUGCUGGAAUAGCAGCAAUGCCACGUACAGGCAGGGAUGACUGGGGCCUUCAGCGGGUAAGAUGUGGGUGCCAAUUUUGGGAACAUGUGGUCCUUGAAAAACGCCUCAUCUCCAGCAAUAUGAGUGUGCCAGAGGUCAUCACGCUGGAUGGGGAUGGUGAUGGAGGCUUUGGUGGUCCACACAAUGAAGGAGCAUCAAUGAAAUGUCUGUAUCUCAGUAAAAUCUUUGAAACUGUUGCAUAUACAUUUUUGCUCAGUAUAUCUUUACAAUAAAAAAAUAAGGUGACCACCGAAAGCCAGAUGGAGACGUGUUAAUUAGAAGCGCACUCGGUCCUUAUAUUACCGUAGCAUAGGCUAUGUUGGAGCGAAUGUCGGCCUACCUGUCACAAGAAAAAAAGUUACCAUUAUGAGAUGAUAGGUCUACAUGCAUUGUGAACUGCGCUCCAUGCUGAGAUGGGCUGUAUGUACACACCCUGAGUAUUGAUGAUUGGUCAGGCAGAGAGAAGGCCAUAGACAAGCCAGAUUUAGACAUUGCAUAUCAUUUUACAGUUCCAUUUCACUUCAUGCACUUCCUAUAAAUAAUUUAUUAUAAUUUACCGGUUUCUCGCUGUUAUUUUUCACGGAAAAAGGGAGGGCCUUUAAC
Oncorhynchus tshawytscha (Chinook salmon) is the source of this 1034-nucleotide long non-coding RNA. The record is from Ensembl. NCBI's taxonomy places the organism in Eukaryota, Metazoa, Chordata, Actinopteri, Salmoniformes, Salmonidae.